GAUGAACGCUGACAGAAUGCUUAACACAUGCAAGUCGAUGGGGAAGUGGUGCUUGCACCAUGGCAACCAUGGCGGACGGGUGAGUAACGCGUAAGGGACUUACCUGCAGGACUGGGAUAACAGGGGGAAACUCCUGACAAGACCGGAUAAUGUCAUGGAGCUGCAUGGCUUUAUGAUGAAAGGAGACGCCUGCGGAGAGCCUUGCGUCCUAUUAGCUAGUUGGUGAGGUAAUGGCUCACCAAGGCGAAGAUAGGUAGCCGGCCUGAGAGGGUGGACGGCCACAAGGGGACUGUGAUACGGCCCUUACUCCUACGGGAGGCAGCAGUGGGGAAUAUUGGACAAUGGGGGCAACCCUGAUCCAGCAAUUCUGUGUGCACGAAGAAGGUUUUCGGAUUGUAAAGUGCUUUCAGCAGGGAAGAAGUAAGUGACGGUACCUGCAGAAGAAGCGACGGCUAAAUACGUG
This 463-nucleotide ribosomal RNA is filed under the name uncultured bacterium. RNAcentral's name for it is "partial 16S ribosomal RNA". It matches the Rfam family "Bacterial small subunit ribosomal RNA", at positions 28 to 507 of the family's 1533-position model. The record is from RNAcentral.